RNAcentral lists this ribosomal RNA (492 nucleotides) under uncultured bacterium. RNAcentral's name for it is "partial 16S ribosomal RNA". It matches the Rfam family "Bacterial small subunit ribosomal RNA", at positions 29 to 507 of the family's 1533-position model. The record is from RNAcentral.
AUUGAACGCUGGCGGCAUGAUUUACACAUGCAAGUCGAACGGUAACAGGCCUUCGGGUGCUGACGAGUGGCGAACGGGUGAGUAAUGCAUCGGAACGUACCCAGAGGUGGGGGAUAACGCAGCGAAAGCUGUGCUAAUACUGCAUGUGAUCUGAGGAUGAAAGCGGGGGACCGAGCAGCAAUGUUUGGCCUCGCGCCUUUGGAGCGGCCGAUGUCGGAUUAGCUAGUUGGUGGGGUAAAGGCCUACCAAGGCGACGAUCCGUAGCUGGUCUGAGAGGACGACCAGCCACACUGGGACUGAGACACGGCCCAGACUCCUACGGGAGGCAGCAGUGGGGAAUUUUGGACAAUGGGCGCAAGCCUGAUCCAGCAAUGCCGCGUGCGGGAAGAAGGCCUUCGGGUUGUAAACCGCUUUUGGCAGGAACGAAACGGUGUCCGCUAAUACCGGGCGCUAAUGACGGUACCUGCAGAAUAAGCACCGGCUAACUACGUG